Mycena epipterygia is the source of this 95-nucleotide non-coding RNA. The record is from the annotation of a GenBank genome assembly. Lineage: Eukaryota; Fungi; Basidiomycota; Agaricomycetes; Agaricales; Mycenaceae.
GCACCGGUGGUGUAUGGUACACGCGCCGUCCCUGUGUUCAGUUAUCAUCUGCAUACAUUUAUGGGCGAUACGGGGUUCGAUUCCCCGCCGGUGCC